GGCGAACUUAGGCGUGUCAGGAUAAGUUAAGCUUGCGAUCACUUAUCUCUUCAAAUGUUUGUUUAAUCUCAUUUGUUCCACCGAUAUAAAUACUGCGAAGAUCUAGAUGACCUUGGCCAUAUGUUGUAGGGAAUUUGUAUGACUAUUGGGAGGACAACUAUAUUGGUCGCCAGAGACGAAACCGCAGAGUGACUCCAAGAUUUCCGAUAGCUUUAUGGAAUGUUAGAGAUAGAGU
Biomphalaria pfeifferi is the source of this 235-nucleotide non-coding RNA. The record is from the annotation of a GenBank genome assembly. NCBI's taxonomy places the organism in Eukaryota, Metazoa, Mollusca, Gastropoda, Planorbidae.